CAGUAGCCGCGGUAAUACGUAUGUCACAAGCGUUAUCCGGAUUUAUUGGGCGUAAAGCGCGUCUAGGUGGUUAUGUAGGUCUGAUGUGAAAAUGCAGGGCUCAACUCUGUAUUGCGUUGGAAACUGUGUAACUAGAGUACUGGAGAGGUAAGCGGAACUACAAGUGUAGAGGUGAAAUUCGUAGAUAUUUGUAGGAAUGCCGAUGGGGAAGCCAGCUUACUGGACAGAUACUGACGCUAAAGCGCGAAAGCGUGGGUAGCAAACAGGAUUAGAUACCCCUGUAGUCCCUGUCUCUUAUACA
RNAcentral lists this ribosomal RNA (301 nucleotides) under uncultured bacterium. RNAcentral describes it as "partial 16S ribosomal RNA". It matches the Rfam family "Bacterial small subunit ribosomal RNA", at positions 509 to 808 of the family's 1533-position model. The record is from RNAcentral.